CCGUUUGGUCACUGGUCACAGCAUCACGAAGUUGCGUUACCAAACUCCGCUUUUCUUUGCGCACCUUGAAUUUUCUUUAGUCAACCCCUCCAGCUUCCAGUUCCAAACUUCCUAUCUUUCAGCAGCUAAAUUGAGGAAAAACAAGAAGAAGCAUCUAUGGCUAUCGAUGAGAUUGAGGGACUCUUUCAAGAUUGCAUACUUGAAGAAACCCGAGCUCAAUCUCCUCCGUAUGAAUUUAGAGAAAAAACAGUAGCAGCAGCAGCAUUCCCCGUCCGGCACCAGCAGUAGUAAUAAUGCUAAUGAUGAUCAUCGGCAGAAGUUAUUAGAUGAUAAUAGUGAAGACCGUCUUACAAAGGGCAAAAAAAUGAUUGCAAUCUGCAGAGAAUUGUUGUUGAUCUUUUCUUGCUGCUAUUGUUGCUUCUGCUGUGGAGCUUGUGUUGAGGAUGAAGAAAACUGAUGAUCCUCACGGUGCAACACAGGAUCAAUGGUUGUACAGAGGAGAUUGUAGGAUUAAAAGUUGUGAUAUCAGCUCAGCUGGAUCAAAAGUUAUGCUAUCAGCUCAGCUUCUAAGGCAUAAUCAUAAAGUGGACCAAAUUUUAGAGUGUCUGCCUUUUUUUUUGUCAGAUUAUUAUGGUACAGCUGUUGUCUAACUACUUCGUUAAUCCAACAUUAGAACGUUGUAUGGUUGCAAGCAAAUUUAGGCCUCUUCCAUAGCUAUGUAUGUUGGUAAGGCUUUCAGCAAUCUGUUGACAAGGAAAGCUUGGUAAUUGUAGUAUCUUCAGUUCUGGCAGCAUAUUCUUUGAUGUUAUUGCAUUAAAGAGCAUGUUUUUCGGUUACUUACAGCCUUGUCAGCAAAAGGGAUUUAUAAUUCAUUGAAAUUUGCCCCUC
Molecule: non-coding RNA, 888 nt
Organism: Coffea arabica (coffee)
Lineage: Eukaryota; Viridiplantae; Streptophyta; Magnoliopsida; Gentianales; Rubiaceae
Source: RefSeq, a predicted model, not a curated record